GUGGGGAAUAUUGCACAAUGGGGGAAACCCUGAUGCAGCGACGCCGCGUGAGUGAAGAAGUAUUUCGGUACGUAAAGCUCUAUCAGCAAGGAAGAAAAUGACGGUACUUGACUAAGAAGCCCCGGCUAACUACGUGCCAGCAGCCGCGGUAAUACGUAGGGGGCAAGCGUUAUCCGGAUUUACUGGGUGUAAAGGGAGCGUAGACGGUAUGGUAAGUCAGAUGUGAGAGCCCGGGGCUCAACCCCGGGACUGCAUUUGAAACUAUCAGACUAGAGUGCAGGAGAGGUAAGUGGAAUUCCUAGUGUAGCGGUGAAAUGCGUAGAUAUUAGGAGGAACACCAGUGGCGAAGGCGGCUUACUGGACUGUAACUGACGUUGAGGCUCGAAAGCGUGGGGAGCAAACAGGAUUAGAUACCCGGGUAGUCC
Molecule: ribosomal RNA, 425 nt
Filed under: uncultured bacterium
Lineage: Bacteria
Description: partial 16S ribosomal RNA
Rfam family: Bacterial small subunit ribosomal RNA
Source: RNAcentral